This is a long non-coding RNA of Larimichthys crocea (large yellow croaker), 1618 nucleotides long. RefSeq lists it as uncharacterized. The record is from RefSeq and is a predicted model, not a curated record. Lineage: Eukaryota; Metazoa; Chordata; Actinopteri; Sciaenidae. The transcript is spliced from 2 exons.
UUGGUGUUGAUGGGGUCUUUACAUGGGGGGAGUUCCAGACAUUUCUCUUCAUGGCAGCAAAUCUGGUGAAUGAACGACCCAUAGAUGCCAGAGUUCAAAGUUGUGAAGACUCUGAGGAGUAUGUCAGCCCCAACUCUCUCUUACUUGGUUGGGCCAGCCCAAAAGGAGAUCCAGGAGAUUUUCAGUUUCAAGGCUACUCAUAUAAAGGACUUCAAAGUAUCCAGCAAGAGGUCAACAGCUUCUGGAAGAAGUGGUGUGAGCUGGCUGGUCCCAACAUGUUCAUCAGGUGCAAAUGGCACACAAAGCAGCAGAAUGUCACGGUGGGACAUGUAGUGUGGCUGGAGGAUCAAAAUGCUUUAAGAGGCCGAUACAAGCUGGGCAGAGUUGUCAGUGUGAAUCCUGACCGAAUGUGAAUGUGAGGACUUUUCCAAGCACUGAAUACAAAUAAAUGCAUUUUUAAGCAAGACCAACAAUUUUAGAGUAUAAUAAGUCUCUGAAUUUAUUCUGUUUAAGCUAACCAAUAAUAAAUAAAAUGCUUCUAAACAUUAUUGUAACUUCUGAGAAUACCCAGAUGGUAGUUUGUUAUAAAAGCAGCUGUAACUCGACUGCCUGUCACCAAUGUAAGACGACAUGUCUCUGGCUGAGCGUGGGACACUAAAGGCUUUACAGUAAUUAACAUGCCAACAGAGUCAUCGCUGUCACACAACCGAGGAAUGUGACUGAACCACAUAUGUUCCACCCGUCCAUAUGAUGAUGUGAGCUUUAAAUAGUUUAAUCUCUGUUUUAUUGCUCUGGGCAUUCAUUGCAGUUCAUUUUAUAUAAAUCAAUCAUAUUGAUUAUAUAAUUAUAUAUAUUAUAUUUUGAGCUCUAGUUUGAAACUCUUGCAAACUGAGUUGAUAUAAAGUCUCUAAAGACACUUUCUGAAAGCUAACAUUGGUGUGGUUUUCCAUAUUAUCCUAAUGCAGUGCUAUGCAGCUUCAGGCUAACGUUAGCCUACUCACACAGACUACCACAUCACUGAACAAACUGAAUCACUGAAUCAACAGUCUGACAGCCACACACAGCCGACUGAAACAACUGUGUUCUUCCUUUAGCAGGAUUUUGUCAUUUCACGUCAGCUAUAAUAAAAUGAUGCCAGCUUUAUCCUUUAGGGGGCGUUUGUCAGGGGUUCAAGUGUUAUCACAGCACGAGUACAGAACACAUCAUGGUAACUGUCUUUCCUUCCAAACAUUCAGAUACAACAUUUUCACUGCAGCCUGUUUAUCAAUCUUUCCUGGAUAAAUCAGUGAGAUGUGUGAGGCUGUGAGCUCGCUGCAUGACUGUCAAUUAAAGCAGGUGAUCGUCUCAGCAGGGACAAAAAGGACGACACACCCAGUCCCAGGUGAGCGUGGGUUGCAAUGUUGCAAUGUUUCCCCUCGAGCAUCUUCAGACAGCUUCAGUAUGUGGAGAACGUUGUUUUUCUGUCAAAGUCAAAGACCGAGUUCAACUGGUACAUCGGCUGCUCUUCUUCUAUGUCGGCCUACAUUAGCCCCGGAGUAAACAAAGGCAGCGUGUGCAGGUGGGAGCGGCAUUUAAAAAACAACACCAAGAAAAAACAGAACAAAAAGCCCAAAAACUG